CUUGAUUAAAAAAAAAAACCGUGACCACGGCAGACAACGACGACAAAGGUAUUUUGAUAAGGCUUGUUCUCCUCUUUCCAAUGAUAUAAAAUAUAGCCAUGUGUUAUUCCGUUAAAGCAAAUUCGUCAAAUUUGUUGAUUGGGCACCCUACUAAUUGACCAGAAAAACCUAGUUUCUCCCUUUUUUGGCCCCUAAUUCCAAAACAUAUUGAACCAUAACCCCCAAAGUCAUAACUAACCAUCCCUUAAUGUUAUGAAAACUUGUGGUAUAAUUUCAGAGAGAUUCAUCCACUUAAACACAAUUAAUUGUUUGAAAACUACAAAAAUGCUUAAUUCGGCACUUAAUUCCUAAACUAUUGGGACUAUAACCCCCAAAAUCAAUCCCAACUUUCCUUUAGUGCUAUUAAACCGUCUGGUAAAAAUUUAUAGAGAUCCAUUCACUAAAUCCUAAAGUUUAUUGUCCAGAAACUAAAUGCGUCUUCGGACUACGAUGACGACAACAUGAUACCAUUAUACAACGCAAAUUUUUUUUUGCUGUUGUGUAAAAACCUGUUGCAUGCCAGUACUAGUCUUCAUGGUCUUAGAAUCAUUG
Molecule: long non-coding RNA, 591 nt
Filed under: Mytilus galloprovincialis (Mediterranean mussel)
Lineage: Eukaryota; Metazoa; Mollusca; Bivalvia; Mytilida; Mytilidae
Source: RNAcentral